RNAcentral lists this long non-coding RNA (1967 nucleotides) under Nicotiana tabacum (common tobacco). Its description in RNAcentral is "long non-coding RNA (NTAB_LNC012124)". Lineage: Eukaryota; Viridiplantae; Streptophyta; Magnoliopsida; Solanales; Solanaceae. The record is from RNAcentral.
AAGGAAUGAACUAGGGUAGUGGAGAACUUUAUCUCCAAAUAUGAGGAAUCUGAAAGAAGGAAAACUGAGAAGAAGCCAAAAAAAAAACUCUGCAACAGAAAUAUUUACUAUCAUAUUCAGAAAGCAUUGCAAGGAAAUUAAAAGGGAAUAGGGUCCUUCUAGCAACAAGUUUUACAAGGGAACAAGAAGAGGAAUAAAACCUCGAUUUAGUGUACAUGUACACAGCAAAAUUCACGCAGUGAAUAAAAGAAAGAGGUAACAGUGUAUUAUUAGUUUUACUUAAAUAUUAAUAUUAAAUAUAUGAUCAUUGACUUGAGUUAAAUUGUGAUACUAGGAUUAAUGUUGGUAUUUAAUUAAAAUGAGUAUUAUAUAUAAAUUAUUUUAUUAUGAUAAAUUUAAUUAAUUGAUGAACGUUCCAUGAACUAGGGAAGAAAGAAUUGCGGAGAGGUGUUAGAUAAGGUCAUGGGUGGCCUAACUAAGGUUAUUGCGAAUGGAACCAAGAGGAAUUAAUAGAACCCGAGUAUGUUGGUACUUCACGAAGUUACUUAGACUAGUCUUUGUGAUACAAUAGAUUGAUCGAAGAAGUCGUAUAGACUGCUCGAGUUGACACGCUUGGUAUUUAGACACGAGUACCGUGAGUAGUAACCUUACCGCAAUUUGUGUUUUCAUAACUUGCAUGAUUUACACAUGAUUUUAAUAUGAACAUAUUACUGACUGUUUUGAAUUUGCAUGCGGAACAAGUCUUUUUCUUGAUAUGAUACCGCUAUAUUUAUUUGAGAUGAUUACAGUUAAUUUGUAUGUUCUCAUGGUUACUGAAUAUGUUUUACCGUUGCUUGAGAUAAUAUUUAAUAUUAUCAAAAUGAAAAUACAUGAUUUGAUAAGAAUUGAAAUGCCAUGCACUAUUUUAAAAUGCUUUCUUAUGAAUAUUUACUGGUUACAAGGAAAAGAAUAAAUGGCAGGAGACUAUGAAUGAUUCCGUAGCUAACGACGGGUUCGUUAUACCUGGUGCACCUUGUAUAUACAGAUCACAUAUUACGAUUAUAGCCCUUGCUAGUGGGAAGGUAAAACUAGCAUAGAAUUAUAGUUUUUCCUCGAGUAGGGACCUACAGUUAUAUUCGACACUUUUUACGAAGGGAUCCAACAGAUUACAUAAUCCUUUCUUAGAAACCUCCCAAACAUAAUAUUUGAUAUGACAAUAUUCACAGAGUUUAUUAUUAAAUUGUUAAUAGGUUCCUGCUUACAUGAAAACAGACAAGAUUGAUGUUUGUUACCGAUUCGGAAAAGAGCAUUUAUUUCAUGAUAUUUUCUGAUUAUUAUACAAGCAUGUUUUCUGACUUGUCCCCACUAAAAACGGUUGUUCUUAAGUUUUAUUACUCACUAAGCUAGCGUCUCACUCCUUACUAUUUUUUUUUACAGAAACUGCAGGUGAUGUUGGUGAGGAUUUUGAUAACUAGAGCGCUCGAGGUGACAAAUUCUGGUGAGCCCCGCAUUGCUUCGCGUGGGCUAGAAGUUAUUUGUUUUCUAUCUUACUUUUCUUUCAAAAACUCGUAGAGUCACUCUGUUAGUCAUUUUUAUUAGUCUCAUGAGUAUUCUCGUAAUAUUAAAGACUUGUGACUAGUAUUAGAUGUCCUUCUCGUACUUUAGAGAUGGUUUUAGUAUUAUUAUGUUAAAAAUGGUGGCCUGGGGAUGAUUGCGUUUUGUUGGGUUGAUAUUGGUUAUAUCUAUUGUUGAUUUUGAGAAUAGAAAAUUUUUGAAUUUUCUUAAAUACAGGGAAAACUCUCCCCGAUUUUUUGUAAAUUCAUGUUAAGGCUUGCUUUGGGAACCUACCCCUUAGUGCCGGUCAUAGCCUAAAUUGGGUCGUGACAUAUGGUGACUGUGUUCUUCCCUUUUUAUUCAAAUGCAUCAAAGAAGUAUUGUAAAGACAUAUGUUUUGGAUUAAUAUGAUUUUUCCUUAUAAUAUUUCCAGA